This 1327-nucleotide ribosomal RNA is filed under the name Agrobacterium tumefaciens. Its description in RNAcentral is "16S ribosomal RNA". It matches the Rfam family "Bacterial small subunit ribosomal RNA", at positions 93 to 1458 of the family's 1533-position model. Lineage: Bacteria; Pseudomonadati; Pseudomonadota; Alphaproteobacteria; Hyphomicrobiales; Rhizobiaceae. The record is from RNAcentral.
GAGUGGCCUACGGGUGAGUAACGCGUGGGAAUCUACCGUGUCCUGCGGGAUACCUCCGGGUGACUGGAGUUAAUACCGAAUGCGCCCUUCGGGGGAAAGAUUUAUCGGGGUAUGAUGAGCCCGCGUUGGAUUAGCUAGUUGGUGGGGUAAAGGCCUACCAAGGCGACGAUCCAUAGCUGGUCUGAGAGGAUGAUCAGCCACAUUGGGACUGAGACACGGCCCAAACUCCUACGGGAGGCAGCAGUGGGGAAUAUUGGACAAUGGGCGCAAGCCUGAUCCAGCCAUGCCGCGUGAGUGAUGAAGGUCUUAGGAUUGUAAAGCUCUUUCACCGGAGAAGAUAAUGACGGUAUCCGGAGAAGAAGCCCCGGCUAACUUCGUGCCAGCAUCCGCGGUAAUACGAAGGGGGCUAGCGUUGUUCGGAUUUACUGGGCGUAAAGCGCACGUAAGCGGAUAUUUAAGUCAGGGGUGAAAUCCCGCAGCUCAACUGCGGAACUGCCUUUGAUACUGGGUAUCUUGAGUAUGGAAGAGGUGAGUGGAAUUCCGAGUGUAGAGGUGAUUCUUAUAUAUAUUAGCAGACACACGAGUGGAGAGGGCGUCUUGUGGGCACAUAUCUGACGGUGAGGUGAGAAAGUGGGGAGAGCACACAUGUAUAGAUACCGUGGUAGCCCACGCCAUAAACUAUGUAUUAUAGCCGUGGGCAUGUUUUCUUGUCGGUGGCGCAGCUAACGCUAUACACUUUCCGCGUGGAGAGUGCUGUCGCAAGUUUAAAUCUCAAAGGAAUGGGCGGGGCCCCGCACAAGCGGGGGAGCAUGUGUUUAAAUUAAAAGCAACGCACAGACCUUUCCCAGCUUUUGACACCGCUCGAUGGCUCAGGAGAGGUAGUUUUCCUUUGGGGGACGUGGACACAGGUGCUGCAUGGCUGUCGUCAGCUCGUGUCGUGAGAUGUUGGGUUAAGUCCCGCAACGAGCGCAACCCUCGCCCUUAGUUGCCAGCAUUAGGUUGGGCACUCUAAGGGGACUGCCGGUGAUAAGCCGAGAGGAAGGUGGGGAUGACGUCAAGUCCUCAUGGCCCUUACGGGCUGGGCUACACACGUGCUACAAUGGUGGUGACAGUGGGCAGCGAACGAGCGAUCGUGAGCUAAUCUCCAAAAGCCAUCUCAGUUCGGAUUGCACUCUGCAACUCGAGUGCAUGAAGUUGGAAUCGCUAGUAAUCGCGGAUCAGCACGCCGCGGUGAAUACGUUCCCGGGCCUUGUACACACCGCCCGUCACACCAUGGGAGUUGGUUUUACCCGAAGGUAGUGCGCUAACCGCAAGGAGGCAGCUAACC